Non-coding RNA from Acanthosepion pharaonis, 106 nucleotides. Lineage: Eukaryota; Metazoa; Mollusca; Cephalopoda; Sepiida; Sepiidae. The record is from the annotation of a GenBank genome assembly.
GCAUAUCACAUAGAAACACCAGUUCUCAUCUGGUCACCGAAGUUAAGCAACAUCAAGCCUGCUCAGUACAUAGAUGGAUGACCUCUUGGGGAUACCACAUGCUGUG